RNAcentral lists this ribosomal RNA (325 nucleotides) under uncultured eukaryote. Its description in RNAcentral is "partial 18S ribosomal RNA". It matches the Rfam family "Eukaryotic small subunit ribosomal RNA", at positions 1470 to 1796 of the family's 1831-position model. The record is from RNAcentral.
CCCUUAGAUGUCCUGGGCUGCACGCGCGCUACACUGAUGUAUUCAACAAGUGUUACCUUGACCGAGAGGCCUAGGAAAUCUUUUAAAAGUGCAUCGUGAUAGGAAUAGAUUAUUGCAAUUUUUAAUCUUGAACGAGGAAUUCCUAGUAAACGCAGAUCAUCAAUCUGCAUUGAUUACGUCCCUGCCCUUUGUACACACCGCCCGUCGCACCUACCGAUUGAAUGGUCCGGUGAAGCCUCGGGAUUGUAGCAAUCUACCUUUAUUGGUGGUUUGUUGCAAGAACUUGUCUAAACCUUAUCAUUUAGAGGAAGGUGAAGUCGUAACA